AAUCAACGCUGGCGGCGUGCCUCAGACAUGCAAGUCGAACGAUUAAACUUUCCUUCGGGAAAGAUAUAAAGUGGCGCACGGGUGAGUAACACGUAGGUAAUCUACCUUUGAGUGGGGAAUAACGUUCGGAAACGAACGCUAAUACCGCAUAAUGCAGCGGCACCGCAAGGUGACAGUUGUUAAAGGAGCAAUUCGCUUAAAGAGGAGCCUGCGGCAGAUUAGCUAGUUGGUAAGGAAUGGCUUACCAAGGCUACGAUCUGUAACCGACCUGAGAGGGUGGUCGGUCACACUGACACUGAAUAACGGGUCAGACUCCUACGGGAGGCAGCAGUCGGGAAUUUUGGGCAAUGGGCGAAAGCCUGACCCAGCAACGCCGCGUGAAGGAUGAAGUCUUUCGGGA
This 400-nucleotide ribosomal RNA is filed under the name uncultured bacterium. RNAcentral describes it as "bacterial SSU rRNA". It matches the Rfam family "Bacterial small subunit ribosomal RNA", at positions 32 to 423 of the family's 1533-position model. The record is from RNAcentral.